UUUCAUUUUCUUCAUAGCACCAUUGGUAUGUUGAGAGGAUUAAAUGAAAUAAUUACUUCCAGUUCUGCUUCCUACCAAGAUGCUGACAAAGUAAAAUGACUGGCUCCCUCCCACAAGAUCAACUUCAGAGGAGCUACAGAGGGGAAAAGAACCCCGCCAAGUUACCUGGUAAACACCAAAUACUGAAAAAACAGAAAAGUCUGCGGCAGUGCAGCUGUCUGAACUGUUGUCUGUGAGAGGAUGGGUAUAGCCUGGGGCCGGAGGCAAUGGAGGACAAAACAGGAAAGAAACUGGUAGAGUUUGGCUUUUGCUUCUCCCCUGCCAUUCUCUUCGGACAAACUGUGCCUGUUCCUAUAGAGCAGCAACAAAGAUCUCCAGGACAUACAGAGAGAAAAAUACAAACAGAUAUUUGAAGGUAAGGCGAACACAGAGACAUGGGUGCCUGGAGGCAGAGAAAGAUUUAUUCAAAUUGGCCAAAACAAGAAGGAGGAGGAUAGGUUCUCUCAAAUCCACCUUCACAAGAGAGGAAGCAAUAACAGGCUGUGAAUUUUCUCGCCUCAGGAGAGGUACAGGACAGGCAGGAGGGCAGAGUCAGCCUGCCAAACUUUUACCUGUUUUUGUGGCCCACACACCUGAGCUAAGCGAGGAUCACACGACGUUCAGGAGGACGCAGGGGCCCUGGAGGAGCAGGGGCAGGAGAGGCUCCCCCGUCGGAGGUCCACGAGGGCCGGAGCUGUGCUGAGAAUCUACGCGGGAAGCAAACACCGCUCCAUGGUGGAGCCCGAGGAGGGUUGCCACCAUUAUGUGCAAUCUGAUGCCUUGGUUUCCUAUUUCUGGGCUGAAGAACUUCCUCAAGUAAUUGUUUUCACACAGGGAGCCUGAAUGGCCCAAAUACUCUCACGAGGAAGCAUCUUGAGGGAACUCCACUGAUGGGUGCCCCACAGCCAGCUCCUCCCUUCGAAUUCGCGAUGCUGAGCCUGGAGCUUAUCUGAGGCUUCCUAGAAAGAAC
Molecule: long non-coding RNA, 1009 nt
Filed under: Equus caballus (horse)
Lineage: Eukaryota; Metazoa; Chordata; Mammalia; Perissodactyla; Equidae
Description: lncRNA (ENSECAG00000040616.2)
Source: RNAcentral